RNAcentral lists this transfer RNA (70 nucleotides) under Pirenella pupiformis. RNAcentral describes it as "tRNA-Asn". Lineage: Eukaryota; Metazoa; Mollusca; Gastropoda; Potamididae. The record is from RNAcentral.
UAAAUGAAAGCCAAAGUACCGAGGCGCCUAACUGUUAACUAGGAGAUUGUAGACCACACUACUCAUUUAG